CGCAUUCUUCGGAAUGAGUGGCGCACGGCUGAGGAACACGUGACUAACCUACCCCGGUGUGGGGGAUAACGGGUCGAAAGACUCGCUAAUCCCGCAUACGAUCCGCCUCGGCGGAGGAAAGCCGUAAGGCGCACUGGGCGGGGGUCGCGUCCCAUUAGAUAGUUGGUGUGGUAAUGGCGCACCAAGUCGAUGAUGGGUCUCUGGUCUGAGAGGACGACCAGACAGAUUGGGACUGAGACACGGCCCAAACUCCUACGGGGGGCAGCAGCAAGGAAUUUUCGGCAAUGGGCGCAAGCCUGACCGAGCAACGCCGCGUGGAGGAUGACGGCUCUUGGGUUGUAAACUCCUUUUGGGGGGGACGAUAAUGACGGUACCCUCCGAAUCAGGCCCGGCUAACUACGUGCCAGCAGCCGCGGUAAUACGUAGGGGCCAAGCGUUGUCCGGAAUUACUGGGCGUAAAGCGUGGGUAGGUGGUCGGUGAUGUGCCGCGUGAAAGCGCCGGAGUAAUGCCGGCGAGGUCGCGGUAGACGGACGGACUCGAGGCUCGCAGAGGAACGUGGAAUUCCCGGUGUAGUGGUGAAAUGCGUAGAUAUCGGGAGGAACACCAGUGGCGCAAGCGGCGUUCUGGGCGAGACCUGACACUGAGCCACGACGGCGUGGGGAGCAAACAGGAUUAGAUACCCUGGUAGUCCACGCAGUANACGAUGCAUACCAGGUGUGGGAUGGCGNUCGCGUCGUUCCGUGCCGCAGCUUACGCGAUGAGUAUGCCGCCUGGGGACUACGAGCGCAAGCUUAAAACUCAAA
RNAcentral lists this ribosomal RNA (804 nucleotides) under uncultured bacterium. RNAcentral describes it as "bacterial SSU rRNA". It matches the Rfam family "Bacterial small subunit ribosomal RNA", at positions 67 to 905 of the family's 1533-position model. The record is from RNAcentral.